This 540-nucleotide long non-coding RNA is filed under the name Nicotiana tabacum (common tobacco). RNAcentral describes it as "long non-coding RNA (NTAB_LNC000945)". The record is from RNAcentral. Lineage: Eukaryota; Viridiplantae; Streptophyta; Magnoliopsida; Solanales; Solanaceae.
UGAGGAGGAUAGUAAGGAGUUGGGGGUGGUGGUGAAGUGUAGUAGUAAGGUGGAGGAGGUGACUUAACUGGUGGUGGAGGGGAGGAGUAGUAGUAAGGUGGAGGAGGUGACUUAACUGGUGGGGGAGGGGAGGAGUAGUAGUAAGGAGGAGGAGGUGACUUAACUGGUGGUGGAGGGGAAGAGUAGUAGUACGGUGGUGGAGGUGACUUAACUGGUGGUGGAGGAGAGGAGUAGUAGUACGGUGGAGGAGGUGACUUAACUGGUGGUGGAGGGGAGGAGUAGUAGUACGGUGGAGGAGGUGACUUAGCAGGUGGUGGUGGGGACUUGUAAUAGUAAGGUGGUGGGGGAGAGGGUGAAGGGGGUGGUGGUGAUUUAUAGUAGUAUGGUGGAGGUGGUGAUGGAGAAGGUGGUGGGGGAGACUUGUAAUAAUAAGGUGGAGGUGGUGAAGGUGAAGGUGGUGGCGGGGAUUUGUAGUAAUAUGGUGGUGGAGGUGAUGGUGAAGGAGGUGGUGGUGAUUUAUAUACAUAUGGUGGUGGUGGA